Dermacentor andersoni is the source of this 2332-nucleotide non-coding RNA. The record is from RefSeq and is a predicted model, not a curated record. NCBI's taxonomy places the organism in Eukaryota, Metazoa, Arthropoda, Arachnida, Ixodida, Ixodidae.
CGCCGUCUUAUUGGAUCUCUUCGCCCUUCUGCCUAAGUUCGGAAUGCCAACGCCUGAAGGUUGCUGGGUUGGUGUGCUCUGCACUCUCACACGCUCAGUUCGCGCUCUUUCUCUGAACGUGGUGGUGAAUCGUUGUGCCAUGUUGAGUGUUGGUCAGCUCCAAGUGAACGUUUUUGUCAUGCGCUUUGGAGCUCCAUUUCUGCGGCACCUGUACGUCUUACGCCUAUCAAGAGUCAUGCUGUGUUCCUGCCAUCAGCCUGGUGUCACUUUGGGUCGACAUCCUUCUUUGUUGAGGAUCAGCACAGAAACAAGACCGCGGAAAUCUGCUUUCUUAGUACCUCUGAUCUCAGCAGUGUAUUUCGUGUCUGCGACCACUGGCACCGAUCCUUCAGGAUGACUAGUAAAUUGUGUAGCGUACCCGUGACCUCUUCUGUUCUGCAUCUGAAACUAUGGACGAAAGGCUUCAUUCACCCAGCGUGUGGCGACUUCCUUAUGGGCCGAUGUACCUGCGAACUCGGUUAAUUUUGGUCUCUGGGACUGUUCAAGCAAGUCCACAGAAAUGCCCCACUAAAUUUUGUAGUACACGUGAACUGCAAUUGUAGUCGUCUUCGACCGCUGAGCCAGCCUGCAGUGAGCCUUAGUGAAAUGUUUAGUCGCCAAGAUACCUGUGAUAUUUUCAGAAGUAUUUGUAACUGCUGCCAUUGAAGAACAGUCAUGCUCUGCCUCUGGUAACUUCCAUCGAGGCUGUCUGAUUCCCGUGAAUUUUUAGGAUGAAAUUGUGUUUAUGUGUGGCUGCUGAAGCAAGCCCACACAAAUCCUCUAUUAGCUUUUCAUAUGGGUGAACUCAUAUAAUGCAUUUUUCAGUCUAUGACUGCUGAAGCGAGCAUGCUGCAAGCUUUUAGUUAAUUGUUUAGUCGCCAAGGUACCUGUGACGGUUCAGCAAUAUUUGGCUGUGACCACGGAAAGGUCGCAUUCUGCUUCUGUUGACUUGCUUAGAGGCCUUCAAGCCUAUGAACACUUAUGGUGAAUUUGUGUUUGUGACCACUCAAGUGCAGCGAGUGUCUUGUAACUCUAGUACUUGUGACGUCAGUUUGGUAUUGUGUUGAAGCAAGUGUCUUGUAACUGCCUUUGUAUCUGAACUCUCCAGUAAUGUUUGUGUUUGCAACUACUUAAGUGAUCCUUUAGUAAUCUUUUUAUGCCCCGUGUGUCUAUAAAAUAUUUAGUACUUUUACUGUGUGCAAACGCUGAAGGAGGCCUGCAGAAAGUGGAGUAGCUUCCGUCAUGGCUAAGACACCUCUGAACUUUUCAGCAAAUAUCGCAUUUAUGUGCCCACGACCGUUGAAGUGAGCCAGCCCACAGUAGCCCUCCUACUAACUUCCUUUGUACCCCCCUACCCCCCCCCCCCCCCCACCCUUGCAUAGGGCUUUUAAAGUUCUUUUACUCGCCGAGGUGCAUCUGCGUAUUAUUAGCUCAACUGAAAUGGUCUUAUCACUACACACGAAAGUGUCGAUGUUUGCUCUGGUGACCUUUGCCAGAACUUGUUAUGAAUGCACAGUGCAUUUGCUGUACACUCUAAGAACAGUUGCACCCUUUGGGGUGUAAUUUUGCCACAGAACGAUAAUCGUCAUCUGUCUUUUCUUGAAAACCCUGCGCUCGUUACUUUCCUGUCGAGAAUGCUCUGUCAUGCUGAUAAUGCGCAUGUCAUUCGUGACAUGGAAGUACCAGGCUUGCAGCGUUAAAGAAAGGAAAUGUGGGCAAGACGGAUGACAAUUAUUGUUCUGUGGCAAAUAUACACCCCAAAGGGUGCAACUAUUUUUAGAGUGUAAAUGGAUGAUUAUACAGCAGCUGUUUGUCUAUAUAUGACCACUGAACUAGCCUCGAGUAAUUUUGUUGAUGCCUAAUGUAGUUGUGACAUCUUAAUUUAGCAUAACUCGUGUUCGUGUAUGUAACUACUGAAUAUGGCCUAGGGAAAGGCUGUGGCAACUUAAAGUGGCUAACAUAUCUAAACUUUUCAGCAAAUUUUGCAUUGAUGUGCCUGCUACCACGGAAGUGAGCCCACUGCAAGCCUCGUGAUAAGUUCCAUAGUGGGCCCACUGCGAAUUCUGAAAUUUUCUUGCUACCCAAAGUGCAUUUGUAAAGAGUUUGAAUAAUGUACACUUUUACUAACCAUGGUGCGGUAUAAAUAACUCCAAUAGCUGAGCUUGUAUGAAGAAAUCAUCGACUUUUAUUUGUUUGCAUUCCUGGGUUUUACUGAAAACUGCUGAGUGCAUUUUAGAGUUCAACGAGUGAUCUUCCUGCAACUGUUUUAUUGAAAUAAAUGCUGUAUUUUUGA